GAUGAACGCUGGCGGCGUGCCUAACACAUGCAAGUCGAGCGAGAAGCUGAUGAAUGAUACUUCGGUUGAAUGAUUCAGUGGAAAGCGGCGGACGGGUGAGUAACGCGUAGGCAACCUGCCCCGGACCGGGGGAUAGCCAUUGGAAACGAUGAUUAAUACCCCAUAACGCAGAAUGACCACAUGGUCAGUCUGCCAAAGAUUUAUCGGUACGGGAUGGGCCUGCGUCUGAUUAGCCAGUUGGCGGGGUAACGGCCCACCAAAGCAACGAUCAGUAGCCGACCUGAGAGGGUGAUCGGCCACAUUGGAACUGAGACACGGUCCAAACUCCUACGGGAGGCAGCAGUGGGGAAUAUUGCACAAUGGGCGCAAGCCUGAUGCAGCAACGCCGCGUGAGGGAUGAAGGCCUUCGGGUCGUAAACCUCUGUCCUUGGGGAAGAAACAAAUGACGGUACCCAUGGAGGAAGCCCCGGCUAACUACGUG
RNAcentral lists this ribosomal RNA (481 nucleotides) under uncultured organism. Its description in RNAcentral is "bacterial SSU rRNA". It matches the Rfam family "Bacterial small subunit ribosomal RNA", at positions 28 to 507 of the family's 1533-position model. The record is from RNAcentral.